This is a non-coding RNA of Pelobates cultripes (western spadefoot toad), 114 nucleotides long. The record is from the annotation of a GenBank genome assembly. Lineage: Eukaryota; Metazoa; Chordata; Amphibia; Anura; Pelobatidae.
AUUGCUUCUGUGGACAGGUAUCUUUUAUACAGGUAACAAGCUGAGAUUAGGAGCAUUCCAUUUAAGAGAGUGCUCAGCUCGUUACCUGUGUAAAAGACACCUGGGAGCCAGACA